Molecule: small nucleolar RNA, 93 nt
Organism: Diospyros lotus (date-plum)
Lineage: Eukaryota; Viridiplantae; Streptophyta; Magnoliopsida; Ericales; Ebenaceae
Product: small nucleolar RNA snoR26
Exons: 1
Source: RefSeq, a predicted model, not a curated record
UGAGCAUCAGUGAUGAGUAGUUUCCUUUUGUUUGUUAUCUUGGACUUUGAUUGCUAGUGAAGAAGUUAAUGAGGACUAUUGACUCAGAUGGUU